Molecule: RNA transcript, 3106 nt
Organism: Rhinolophus ferrumequinum (greater horseshoe bat)
Lineage: Eukaryota; Metazoa; Chordata; Mammalia; Chiroptera; Rhinolophidae
Gene: BTBD19
Gene name: BTB domain containing 19
Exons: 8
Source: RefSeq, a predicted model, not a curated record
UGGGUUUUGAUAGCUGGCUUUGCUGGGCCCCAUGACUCUGAGGAAGUCCUGGGUACAGAAGAGGCGGGGAAUUAGGACUUGACCCUUUUGCUGAACUCAGUCUGGGGAAGUCUGAGUUCCCAAGUGUAGAGCAUGGCUGCUGAUCACUCAGGGUCCAUGAUAUCUUGAGAGCCAGAGGUGGAGGGCAGUGGAGGCUGGAGCCUAGAGUGGCUGUGUGACCUCAGGCCAAGGCCUUCCUUUUUUGGAGCUUGUGCUCCGGGCAGAGAAUAAGAGCCUUUAGCCCCCUGGAUUCUGAGAGGUGGGAUGUAACUUGAAUCCCUCUCUGGGAAGGCAGAGGAGCAGAUGACCUUGUUCUGGAAACUGUGGAUUCACAAGAGGAACACAGCUCAAAGGAUUGAGCCAGUCUGAGACAGGAAGUGGUUUCAGGGUGCUGCCUGGGGCUCUCUGUCUGCCAGGAUACAAGUGGUGUCUGAAACCAGGGACAGAGUAUGGGGGCAGGGCUGGUUGGGAGAAUUAGAAAGCAGCUUUUUGUUCUCACUGCCUCAGAGCUGGGUUCCUCCCCAAGGGUUGGUGACUCUCAUAACCCUACUGCUUUGAGGAUCACAGUCUGGUCUGAAUAGUGGGAACUCAGGCCUUGGACUGGGAACUAGGCGCAUCCAGGAAGCUCAAGCUUCAUUUCAUGCCUCCUAACCCCUGUGUUGUUAGAGGCCCAGAGGCUGGGGCCGGAAGUGAUCAUGAAGAUGGAAAAUGUGGUCUGGCCUUUUGGUGCAUCACUGCCGUGUCUAUUUGCAGCCAGUGCACACUGCACCCACCACCUCCUGCCUGGAGGAGGCUGAAAAAAGCUGAGUUUGCAGUCUGUGGAGGAGGAGCCAAGAAGAGCUUACCUUCCCCCAAGACUCAGGCUGGGGAGGAAAGGGGUAUGUGGGAUCAAUCUUGAGUCAGCCCUGGUGCCCCCUCAGUGAUUAAGCAAAGCCACCUCCUCCAAGACCUGAGAGUUUGAGAUUACCGUCCCAUUUCAUAUGGGAGAAACCUGAGAUUCAAAAGUAGAAAGUCACUUGCCUGAAGUACCAUAGGGUGGAGCUGGGACUAGAACACAACCCUGUGUGUCCCAGACGUUCAGCUAGAAGGACUAAGCCCUGUCUCUUAUAUGACAGAUAAGGAAACAAAGGCUCAGAGUGGGCCAAGGCAAAGCCUACAGUUGCACUCUAGACUCUGGCCUCUUCUCCCCUGGCUCUCUGCCCCUCUCUCCCACAGUGAUGUUCGCUUUGUGGUUGGUCAAGAACAGCAGGAGGUGUUUGCCCACCGGUGCUUGUUGGCCUGUAGAUGCAACUUUUUCCAGCGACUUCUGGGCCAGGAGUCAGGCCCUGGGGUGCCUAGUCCUGUGGUGCUAAGCACUGUGCCAGCUGAGGCCUUCCUGUCAGUGCUGGAGUUCUUGUAUACCAACAGUGUCAAGCUGCAACGCCACUCUGUGCUGGAGGUGCUGACAGCAGCUGUGGAGUAUGGGCUGGAGGAAUUGAGAGAGCUAUGCCUGGAGUUUGUGGUGAAGAUGCUGGAUGUGGAGCUGGUUUGUGAGGCCCUGCAGGUGGCCGUAACCUUUGGCCUGGGACCAUUGCAGGAGCGUUGCAUAGCCUUCAUAGAGGCCCAUAGCCAGGAGGUGCUCCGGACCCGCGGCUUCCUGGAACUGUCGGCGCCUGCGUUGCUGCCCCUGUUGAGCAGUGACAACCUCUGCGUAGACGAGGCUGAACUUGUCCUGGCGGCCCGGAGCUGGGCGCGCGUGGGCGCUGCCGUGCUGGAGCGACCUGUGGCCGAGGUAGCGGCACCGGUGGUGCGGGAGCUGAGACUGGCUUUGCUGGCCCCGGCGGAGCUGAGCGCCCUGGAAGAGCAGAACCGGCGGGAGCCGCUCAUCCCGUUUCAGGAUCUUUCCCCGGUUCUGACACCAUCGUGUUUCUCAUCGUGGGUGCCCAAGCCAGAAACCUGAAUCUCAUCCUGGCCUCAUUCCUCUUCCUCACAGCUGCCUUCUGUGGCUUCUACCUUCUAAGAGACUGAAGGUAGCAGAAUAUGCCAUGUCAAAAUAUGUCUUUUGGGCAUAAGGAUUAUUUUAAGCUGAUUAUUUUGAGAAGCAGGAGAAGCUCUGAAAACAUUACAAGUUACCCUUUUGGGUCUCAGCCCAGAGCUCAGAGUAGAGGAAAAACUAUUUUUUCUCCCCGGCAAGAUCUUUACAAUUAAUUCAGCUCUCUCAGCCUCAGUUCUGCCCAUCCUAUAUGUGGCAGGACUUACUGCUACAGAUGCUAAUUAGUCUUCCCGCCUUCACUCGAGCACCCCUCAUCAUCCCCCCCACGCUAAUCCACUUCCCACACUGCAGCUACCAUCGAUUUAGCUAAGAUUGUCAGACCUACUCCCCUUAUAAAGCCCCUCAACAUCCUCAUUGCACUGAAAGUGAAAUAUAAUCUCUUUCACUUUCAGGGCCUUAAAAUUACUCCAAAUAUUAGCAGCUCUUCUCUCAACAACUAUCUUUGCAGGAAUUCACUGGUCCUGCAGGCACUAGUCCUCUAGGUCUGGAUUUACUCUCUUGGUUAUUGAAGACUCUCUACGCUACCUCUUUCAUUCAUUACACAUUUUUGUCUUCCUGAGGCUUUGAAUCUCCCUGGAGAAAGAUCCCUGGGGACUUAUUCAUUUCUGCUUCCUCAGUCCCUGUCACAUAAUCAGUGCUCUGUAAGUGUUCAGUGAUGACUUUAUUUCCUUAUUUAAAUGCUAUUUUAUUCCAUGAAGAGUUUUAAAAAGCUGUAAAACAAAAUACUGUCAAUCUAAAACGAGGGACGAUCGACCAUUUGGAAGAAAAUAAAAUCAGACUUCUGUCUCAGGGAUUUUAUGCAAAAAUACGUUACACAUGGUUAAAAAUAAUUAUUUGGUAUUAUCUCUCAAGGCGGAAAAUGUGGUUACCUGCAGUCCCACUUCCUGCCAGCAUCAUUUGGAUAAUGAAAAUUGAAAAUAAGGUACAUGUCCUAGACGAUUGGUUUAACCUAGAAGACUGGUUAAAUUAACUAUGGUGUCAUGCAGGGUGUCACACGGGGUCUCUGGUCCCACUCCCCACAUAAGAACGCAGUAU